UGGCUGGCGAGUAAAGAAUGGGUCAUGGGAAUGGCACGUCUCAGAAUGGAAGUCAGUUGAUGAUUUCAAGCGCUUUUUGCUUCAAAGCGCCCGCUGACGACGGUGUGGAGAGGAGAUGCCGGGGGUGUUGCGGGGCAGGAUCCGGACAUGGAGAAGCUGCAUGUGGAAAAGCCCUGUCGGGCCACAGUCCUGGAGACAAGACGCAGAGGGAGCGAUACCACGGGAAGCUUGGGGACAA
Long non-coding RNA from Lemur catta (Ring-tailed lemur), 238 nucleotides. RefSeq lists it as uncharacterized. The record is from RefSeq and is a predicted model, not a curated record. NCBI's taxonomy places the organism in Eukaryota, Metazoa, Chordata, Mammalia, Primates, Lemuridae. The transcript is spliced from 3 exons.